UUGACCUCGGAUCAGGUAGGAAUACCCGCUGAACUUAAGCAUAUCAAUAAGCGGAGGAAAAGAAACCAACAGGGAUUGCCCCAGUAACGGCGAGUGAAGCGGCAACAGCUCAAAUUUGAAAUCUGGCCCCUAGGGUCCGAGUUGUAAUUUGUAGAGGAUGCUUUUGGUGAGGUGCCGCCCGAGUUCCCUGGAACGGGACGCCACAGAGGGUGAGAGCCCCGUCUGGCUGGCCACCGAGCCUCUGUAAAGCUCCUUCGACGAGUCGAGUAGUUUGGGAAUGCUGCUCAAAAUGGGAGGUAUAUGUCUUCUAAAGCUAAAUAUUGGCCAGAGACCGAUAGCGCACAAGUAGAGUGAUCGAAAGAUGAAAAGCACCUUGAAAAGAGGGUUAAACAGUACGUGAAAUUGUUGAAAGGGAAGCGCUUGUGACCAGACUUGGGCGCGGCGAAUCAUCCGGGGUUCUCUCCGGUGCACUUCGCCGUGUUCAGGCCAGCAUCAGUUCGGCGCGGGGGAAAAAGGCUUCGGGAACGUGGCUGCUCCGGCAGUGUUAUAGCCCGUUGCAUAAUACCCUGCGCUGGACU
Molecule: ribosomal RNA, 578 nt
Filed under: Trichoderma erinaceum
Lineage: Eukaryota; Fungi; Ascomycota; Sordariomycetes; Hypocreales; Hypocreaceae
Description: eukaryotic LSU rRNA
Rfam family: Eukaryotic large subunit ribosomal RNA
Source: RNAcentral